RNAcentral lists this ribosomal RNA (494 nucleotides) under uncultured bacterium. Its description in RNAcentral is "partial 16S ribosomal RNA". It matches the Rfam family "Bacterial small subunit ribosomal RNA", at positions 28 to 507 of the family's 1533-position model. The record is from RNAcentral.
GACGAACGCUGGCGGCGUGCUUAGCACAUGCAAGUCGAACGGUGAAGCGCCUUCCUUUUUGGUGGGUGUGGAUGAGUGGCGAACGGGUGAGUAACACGUGAGUAACCUGCCCCCUUCUUCUGGAUAACCGCAUGAAAGUGUGGCUAAUACGGGAUAUUCUGGGUCUGUCGCAUGAUGGGUCUGGGAAAGAUAUUGUUUCGGUGGGGGAUGGGCUCGCGGCCUAUCAGCUUGUUGGUGGGGUGAUGGCCUACCAAGGCGGUGACGGGUAGCCGGCCUGAGAGGGUGGACGGUCACACUGGGACUGAGACACGGCCCAGACUCCUACGGGAGGCAGCAGUGGGGAAUAUUGCACAAUGGGCGCAAGCCUGAUGCAGCGACGCCGCGUGAGGGAUGGAGGCCUUCGGGUUGUGAACCUCUUUCGCCAGUGAAGCAGGCCUGCCUCGUUUGUGGGUGGGUUGACGGUAGCUGGAGAAGAAGCGCCGGCUAACUACGUG